Non-coding RNA from Xyrichtys novacula (pearly razorfish), 12325 nucleotides. The record is from the annotation of a GenBank genome assembly. NCBI's taxonomy places the organism in Eukaryota, Metazoa, Chordata, Actinopteri, Labriformes, Labridae.
UGUUUUAAUUUCACAUUAAUUUCCAUAUUGUAUAAACGACUGGAAAAAACUUGAGCCCCUGCCCCUGUAUAAUCAUGUGCAUGUCUCUGUUCUAGCUCCAAGGUGAAUCUUCACUGCUCAUGUUCUCCUCAGAAGCACUCACCUCACUCCCCUCAGGUUACUGUACACAUGCACCAACUGCCUGCUUCAGGUUUGGAUGGAGCUUCAUGGUUGUCUUCUGGAGAAAUGACCAGUCAAGUUGUGUUUGAAAUUUGAUUUUUUUCAGGGGCAAAAGGAGCCUCUGCAUUCUUGUCAAAUAUGUAAAUAGCAUGUUUUUGCAGGUGCUAAAAACCAGACUCUGAGUGUGUGUGUGUGUGUGCGUGUGUGUGUGUCUGUGUGUGCGUUCAAGUCACAUGACAUAUUUAACCGGAUGUAGCUGCAAGACGGAGCCUCGUUGACUCUCCGUUUCAACUUAUCUCAAAAGUGAGGACCUCAACCUAUAUACCAGUUUUUAAAUUGUGUUGAUAGGCCAAAUAAAACCAGAGUUAUGAUAAAUUAUGUCCGCGAUACUUUUUUUCUGCUUAUUUUGAUCACGUUCGGCGCUCGAUCGCGCUGUAUGAGACAGGAAAACAUAGCAUGCAGACAUUAGCGACAGGUCUUACAGGCGGAAAAGGCUUGCCAAAAGAAAAAAAAAACACACCACAACAUCUCUCCUAUUGGUGGAAAACUUCACCACAACAACCAAUCCAAAAUUAUAUGGUGACUGAUUGACAAGGGGAGGGCGCUUACGUUCUUCCUGCAACAUGAGAAGGGAGGGAGGGACUCUCAGCAGGGAUGCAGUCUGGGACACGUAGUUGCAAACCUAGCGACUUUGUUGUUAGAUUCAAUGACUUUUCAGACCCCCUAACGACUUUUUUUUAGAAAGAAAGGGACUUUUAUCGACUUCUUCUGGAGUUUAGAGACUCUGACAUGAAGCAGGCUUUCCUUACUGAGGAGUUAGCAACGCUGCUAAGGGUGCAGAGCCACACAUGCGCUCCGAGCUCUGCAUGGGAGACUGAAGCUGACAGAGCUGCAGCAGUUAGCAGGUUUCACCCUCAGAGACCACCAGGGGUUCAUGUUGAGGCAUUUUAAUUUUUUUUUUUUUUUUGCCAUAGACACUGUCAGCACAAUCUGCAGUUACACUAACAAAAAUGCUGCAAAAAACAAAGAAUUAUGGAAAAAUUACACAUGGACUGACAUAGAGGAGGAUCUACACAAGUUUUUUACAUCAUGUUUUACAUCAUGCAUCAUUUACAUCAUGUUUUUUUGUAGUGGCAUAAAUAAAAAGUGACAUUUGUGAGACUAUACAGUGUUUUGUAAAUAAUUUUACAAAGAACGCCUGGGCCAUUGCCUGCAUUUUGAUGUAAAUAGAGGUAAAUCACUAUGUUCUUUGUUAAAAAUUUGCAUAUGUUUUGAAGUUUACAAUUUUUAUUUGAAGUUUAAGUUUUAAAAACAGUUCAUCACACAUAUUUGUGGUUUUCACAGUAAAAACAUUACUUUUUUCCACUCGGAUUUUAUGUUUUGUGUGUGAAUUUGGGUCCAAUGUGUAAAUAUAGUAUGUCAAAAUGAUAAAAUAACUGUAAAUUGACACAGGUGAGGUUGUGCUGAAAAAAAUGAUACCAGGCAAGGCAAGGUAAAAAUUUUGUAAGAGGAAAUAUAAAGGUAAAAUCUAAAGUAGUCAAAAACGGCCAAUAGUGACUCACAGACUCCACAGACAAGUCCCUUUGGCGCCACUCAGUGGGCAAAACUACAUUGUCUACUGUAAUGUAUAUUUGGGUCAUCUUUGGCGCCCCCUAAAACGUAAACCGUGGGGUGCAGCGUCAUGAUUUUUACAACUUUGAAUGGCCAUGGAGUGUAGAUUGGCCUGGGCAAAUUUGGUGUCAGUGGGACGAAAGCCUUAGGAGGAGUUAGCGAAAUUCCAAUGUGUGCGAAUCGGCAAAAAAUGCAAAAUAGCCCUUUUACCGUACAUUAUACAGAUACGCGCUCUUUGACUUUUUCGUAGACCUAAUUGAGAUACACAUGAUUGUCAAUUUUUGUGUCAUUUUGCCAAAGCGUACAGGCGUGACAGUCAACAAUGUGUAUUUUCACCUUAGGGGACAAGAAAAAAUGGACUUUUUUCUCCUGCCAUGGGGGGGCGCUCUUUUGGGGAGUAAAAAUUCCUUCACAAAUGUGUUGAUGGCUGGACAUUGCAUCAUCCUAGAAAACUUGGAGGCCAGUGAGGACAAAAAUAAAAAGUUAUAAGACUUUUAAAAAUGUGGAUUUUUGGGUUAUCUUUGGCGCCCCCUAGAACGUAAACCGUGGGGUGCAGCGUCAUGAUUUGAAUAACUUUUAAUGGCCAUGGGGUGUAAUUUGGCCUGAGCAAAUGUGGUGCCGGUGGAACGAAAGCCUUCGGAGGAGUUAGCGAAAUUCCAAUGUGUGCGAAUCGGCAAAAAAUGCCGAAUAACCCUUUAACCGUACAUUAGACAGAUACGCGCGCAUGGACUUUUUUGUAGAUCUUAUUGAGAUACAUGUGUGUGUCAAUUUUUGUGUCAUUUUGACAAAGCGUACAGGCGUGACACUCAACAAUGUGUAUUUUCACCUUAGGGGACAAGAAAAAAAUGGACUUUUUUCUCCUGCCAUGGGGGGGCGCUCUUUUGGGGAGUAAAAAUUCCUUCACAAAUGUGUUGAUGGCUGGACAUUGCAUCAUCCUAGAAAACUUGGAGGCCAGUGAGGGCAAAAAUAAAAAGUUAUAAGACUUUUAAAAAUGUGGAUUUUAGGGUUAUCUUUGGCGCCCCCUAGAACCUAAACCGUGGGGUGCAGCGUCAUGAUUUGAAUAACUUUUAGUGGCCAUGGGGUGUAGAUUGGCCUGAGCAAAUGUGGUGCCGGUGGAACGAAAGCCUUCGGAGGAGUUAGCGAAAUUCCAAUGUGUGCGGAUCGGCAAAAAAUGCGAAAUAACCCUUUAACCGUACAUUUGACAGAUACGCCCGCACUGACUUUUUUGUAGAUCUUAUUGAGAUACAUGUGUGUGUCAAUUUUUGUGUCAUUUUGACAAAGCGUACAGGCGUGACAGUCAAUAGUGUGAAUUUUCACCUUAGGGGGCGCUAUGGAGCCAUUUUGCAUUUUCUUGUUUGGGCGACUUCGGAAUAUCAAAUUUUUCACCAGGCCCGGUCGUCCUGCCAAAUUUCCUGAGUUUUCGCCAGUGGGAAGUGGGCCAUUUUCCAGUUCAAAGGGGAGGAAAAAGAAGAAAGAAAGAAACAAAGAAAAACCCCUACAGGAAUAACAGGGCCUACGCCCGGCUGCUCUGCAGCUGGCUCGGGCCCUAAAGAAAGAAGAAAGAAAAACCUAUACAGGAAUAAUAGGGCUCUACGCCCGGCUGCUCUGCAGCUGGCUCGGGCCCUAACUAGGGCCCCGGUGGGGCACUGUCGGGCCCGAGCCGCGUUGCGCCGCCCCCAGCGCGACCGCCUCCCCCUCCCGAUCGCGUCACACUCAAGGUCCAAAGAUGGUGUGCGCACUUGUCUGUGGUCAUUUCCCAUUAUAAUGAAUGGGAGGCGCAGUUUCUACCAAAACACUCGCUGCAGACAAACUACAUGUCCUAUUUGAAAAAAGUCUGGACCAUGAGUGAGGGCACAAACACAGCUAGGAUAUAUCCAAACGGCAAGUUGCUCCUUGUUACGGUGUUGCCGGGAGAGUGAUGCGAUUGAGCCAUUGAGUGAUGGGCAGGAAAAACUUGACUGUUUCUCCUGCCAUGAGGGUUGGGGGAUGAGGGGGGGGGGGAUGUGGAUUCUUUUAAGAAUGUGGAUAUUUGGGUCAUCUUUGGCGCCCCCUAGAACGUAAACCGUGGGGUGCAGCGUCAUGAUUUUUACAACUUUGAAUGGCCAUGGGGUGUAGAUUGGCCUGAGCAAAUUUGGUGUCAGUGGGACGAAAGCCUUAGGAGGAGUUAGCCACAUUCCAAUGUGUGCGAAUCGGCAAAAAAUGCAAAAUAGCCCUUUAACCGUACAUUUUACAGAUACGCGCGCAUUGACUUUUUCGUAGAUCUUAUUGAGAUACAUGUGAUUGUCAAAUUUUGUGUCAAUAUGACAAAGCGUACAGGUAUGACAGUCAACAAUGUGUUUUUUCACCUUAUGGGACAAGAAAAAAUGGACUUUUUUCUCCUGCCAUGGGGGGGCGCUCUUUUGGGGAGUAAAAAUUCCUUCACAAAUGUGUUGAUGGCUGGACAUUGCAUCAUCCUAGAAAACUUGGAGGCCAGUGAGGACAAAAAUAAAAAGUUAUAAGACUUUUAAAUAUGUGGAUUUUAGGGUUAUCUUUGGCGCCCCCUAGAACCUAAACCGUGGGGUGCAGCGUCAUGAUUUGAAUAACUUUUAAUGGCCAUGGGGUGUAGAUUGGCCUGAGCAAAUGUGGUGCCGGUGGAACGCCAGCCUUAGGAGGAGUUAGCGAAAUUCCAAUGUGUGCGGGUCAGCAAAAAAUGCGCAAUAACCCUUUAACCGUACAUUUGACAGAUACGCCCGCACUGACUUUUUUGUAGAUCUUAUUGAGAUACAUGUGUGUGUCAAUUUUUGUGUCAAUAUGACAAAGCGUAAAGGCGUGACAGUCAAUAGUGUGAAUUUUCACCUUAGGGGGCGCUAUGGAGCCAUUUUGCAUUUUCUUGUUUGGGCGACUUCGGAAUAUCAAAUUUUUCACCAGGCCCGGUCAUCCUGCCAAAUUUCAUGAGUUUUCGCCAGUGGGAAGUGGGCCAUUUUCCAGUUCAAAGGGGAGGAAAAAGAAGAAACUAGGGCCCCGUUGGGGCACUGGCGGGCCCGAGCCGUGUCCCUCCCCCCCCCCCCCAACGUGCUGCCUUCCCGUCCCAUUUGUGUCCUCUGGCCAUCGCCCUCUCUGGUAACGCCCAUCACUGCAAAGACCCUUUUCCUUCAUCAGCGUUUGCUGUUCUUCCUGCCAGUGCGUGUUGCUUUCACUUACACUUGCCACAGCCAGCCUCGUGAGUGCCUAGCCUAUUGGAUAUCACUGUCACCUACACAGGACAGUCAUACUUUGUUUUUUAAUUUCACAUUAAUUUCCAUAUUGUAUAAACGACUGGAAAAAACUUGAGCCCCUGCCCCUGUAUAAUCAUGUGCAUGUCUCUGUUCUAGCUCCAAGGUGAAUCUUCACUGCUCAUGUUCUCCUCAGAAGCAGUCACCUCACUCCCCUCAGGUUACUGUACACAUGCACCAACUGCCUGCUUCAGGUUUGGAUGGAGCUUCAUGGUUGUCUUUUGGAGAAAUGAGCAGUCAAGUUGUGUUUGAAAUUUGAUUUUUUUCAGGGGCAAAAGGAAGCCUCUGCAUUCUUGUCAAAUAUGUAAAUAGCAUGUUUUUGCAGGUGCUAAAAAACAGACUCUGAGUGUGUGUGUGUGUGUGUGUGUGUGUGUGUGUGUGUGUGUGUGUGUGUGUGUGUGUGUGUGUGUGUGUGUGUAUCCUGCAGUACUCUGAGAAGAAUAAUAAGCAUAUUUCUGAGGUGAAUUUUGAAGAUUCAUCUGAGAGUUAGGUUUGAUUCGAUUCGAUUGACGCUCCCCAGCGUUCAAGUCACAUGAUAUAUUUAACCGGAUGUAGCUGCAAGACGGAGCCUCGUUGACUCUCCGUUUCAACUUAUCUCAAAAGUGAGGACCUCAACCUAUAUACCAGUUUUUAAAUUGUGUUGAUAGGCCAAAUAAAACCAGAGUUAUGAUAAAUUAUGUCCGCGAUACUUUUUUUCUGCUUAUUUUGAUCACGUUCGGCGCUCGAUCGCGCUGUAUGAGACAGGAAAACAUAGCAUGCACACAUUAGCGACAGGUCUUACAGGCGGAAAAGGCUUGCCAAAAGAAAAAAAAACACACCACAACAUCUCUCCUAUUGGUGGAAAACUUCACCACAACAACCAAUCCAAAAUUAUAUGGUGACUGAUUGACAAGGGGCGGGCGCUUACGUUCUUCCUGCAACAUGAGAAGGGAGGGAGGGACUCUCAGCAGGGAUGCAGUCUGGGACACGUAGUUGCAAACCUAGCGACUUUGUUGUUAGAUUCAAUGACUUUUCAGACCCCCUAACGACUUUUUUUAGAAAGAAAGGGACUUUUAUCGACUUCUUCUGGAGUUUAGAGACUCUGACAUGAAGCAGGCUUUCCUUACUGAGGAGUUAGCAACGCUGCUAAGGGUGCAGAGCCACACAUGCGCUCCGAGCUCUGCAUGGGAGACUGAAGCUGACAGAGCUGCAGCAGUUAGCAGGUUUCACCCUCAGAGACCACCAGGGGUUCAUGUUGAGGCAUUUUCAGUUUUUGUUUUUUUUGCCAUAGACUGUCAGCACAAUCUGCAGUUACACUAACAAAAAUGCUGCAAAAAACAAAGAAUUAUGGAAAAAUUACACAUGGACUGACAUAGAGGAGGAUCUACACAAGUUUUUUACAUCAUGUUUUACAUCAUGCAUCAUUUACAUCAUGUUUUUUUGUAGUGGCAUAAAUAAAAAGUGACAUUUGUGAGACUAUACAGUGUUUUGUAAAUAAUUUUACAAAGAACGCCUGGGCCAUUGCCUGCAUUUUGAUGUAAAUAGAGGUAAAUUACUAUGUUCUUUGUUAAAAAUUUGCAUAUGUUUUGAAGUUUACAAUUUUUAUUUGAAGUUUAAGUUUUAAAAACAGUUCAUCACACAUAUUUGUGUUUUAAUUUCACAUUAAUUUCCAUAUUGUAUAAAUGACUGGAAAAAACUUGAGCCCCUGCCCCUGUAUAAUCAUGUGCACGUCCCUGUUCUAGCUCCAAGGUGAAUCUUCACUGCUCAUGUUCUCCUCAGAAAUAGUCACCUCACUCCCCUCAGGUUACUGUACACAUGCACCAACUAUCUGCUUCAGGUUUGGAUGGAGCUUCAUGGUUGUCUUUUGGAGAAAUGAACAGUCAAGUUGUGUUUGAAAUCUGAUUUUUUUCAGGGGCAAAAGGAAGCCUCUGCAUUCUUGUCAAAUAUGUAAACAGCAUGUUUUUGCAGGUGCUAAAAAACAGACUCUGAGUGUGUGUGUGUGUGUGUGUGUGUGUGUGUGUGUGUGUGUGUGUGUGUGUGUGUGUGUUAUAUGUGUGUGUAUCCUGCAGUACUCUGUACUCCUGCAGUGGCCAAAAAGACUUUUAAGAAUGUGGAUUUUUGGGUCAUCUUUGGCGCCCCCUAGAACUGCAGUACUCUGUACUCCUGCAGUGGCCAAAAUGACUUUUAAGAAUGUGGAUUUUUGGGUCAUCUUUGGUGCCCCCUAGAACGUAAACCGUGGGGUGCAGCGUCAUGAUUUUUACAACUUUGAAUGGGCAUGGGGUGUAGAUUGCCCUGAGCAAAUUUGGUAUCGGUGGGACGAAAGCCUUAGGAGGAGAUAGCCACAUUCCAAUGUGUGCGAAUCGGCAAAAAAUGCGAAAUAGCCCUUUAACCGUACAUUAUACAGAUACGCGCUUUUUGACUUUUUCGUAGAUCUAAUUGAGAUACACGUGAUUUUCAAUUUUUGUGUCAAUAUGACAAAGCGUUCAGGCAUGACACUCAACAAUGUGUAUUUUCAUGUAAGGGGACAAGAAAAAAUUGACUUUUUUCUCCUGCCAUGGGGGGGCGCUCUUUUGGGGAGUAAAAAUUCCUUCACAAAUGUGUUGAUGGCUGGACAUUGCAUCAUCCUAGAAAACUUGGAGGGCAGUGAGGACAAAAAUAAAAAGUUAAAAGACUUUUAAGAAUGUGGAUUUUGGGUUAUCUUUGGCGCCCCCUAGAACCUAAACCUUGGGGUGCAGCGUCAUGAUUUGUACAACUUUUAAUGGCCAUGGGGGGUAGAUUGGCCUGCGCAAAUGUGGUGCCGGUCGAACGAAAGCCUUCGGAGGAGUUAGCGAAAUUCCAAUGUGUGCAGAUCUGCAAAAAAUGCAAAAUAACCCAUUAACCGUACAUUUGACAGAUACGCCCGCACUGACUUUUUUGUAGAUCUUAUUAAGAUACAUGUGUGUGUCAAUUUUUGUGUCAAUAUGACAAAGCGUACAGCCGUCAUGUGAAUUUUCACCUUAGGGGGCGCUAUGGAGCCAUUUUGCAUUUUAUUGUUCGGGCGACUUUAGAAUAUCGAAUUUUUCACCAGGCCCGGUCGUCCUGCCAAAUUUCCUGAGUUUUCGCCAGUGGGAAGUGGGCCAUUUUCCAGUUUAAAGCGGAGGAAAAAUAAUAACGAAAGAAGGAAACAUGCAGGAACAAGAGGGCUCUCGCAGCUGCUUAGCAGUUACGCUCGGGCCCUAACUAGGGCCCCGUUGGGGCACUGGCGGGCCCGAGCCGUGUCGCACCCCCCCCCCCCCCCCCCAACGCGCUGCCUCCCCGUCCCAUUCGUGUCCUCUGGCCAUCGCCCUCUCUGGUAACGCCCAUCACUGCAAAGACCCUUUUCCUUCAUCGGCGUUUGCUGUUCUUCCUGCCAGUGCGUGUUGCUUUCACUUACACUUGCCACAGCCAGCCUCGUGAGUGCCUAGCCUAUUGGAUAUCACUGUCACCUACACAGGACAGUCAUUACCUUUCUAUUAAUACUUUGUUUUUAAUUUCACAUUAAUUUCCAUAUUGUAUAAACAACUGGAAAAAACUUGAGCCCCUGCCCCUGUAUUAUCAUGUGCACGUCCCUGUUCUAGCUCCAAGGUGAAUCUUCACGGCUCAUGUUCUCCUCAGAAGCAGUCACCUCACUCCCCUCAGGUUACUGUACACAUGCACCAACUGCCUGCUUCAGGUUUGGAUGGAGCUUCAUGGUUGUCUUUUGGAGAAAUGAGCAGUCAAGUUGUGUUUGAAAUUUGAUUUUUUUCAGGGGCAAAAGGAAGCCUCUGCAUUCUUGUCAAAUAUGUAAAUAGCAUGUUUUUGCAGGUGCUAAAAAACAGACUCUGAGUGUGUGUGUGUGUGUGUGUGUGUGUGUGUGUGUGUGUGUGUGUGUGCGUGUGUGUGUGUGUGUCUGUGUGUGUGUGUGUGUGUGUGUAUCCUGCAGUACUCUGAGAAGAAUAAUAAGCAUAUUUCUGAGGUGAAUUUUGAAGAUUCAUCUGAGAGUUAGGUUUGAUUCGAUUCGAUUGACGCUCCCCAGCGUUCAAGUCACAUGACAUAUUUAACCGGAUGUAGCUGCAAUACGGAGCCUCGUUAACUCUCCGUUUCAACUUAUCUCAAAAGUGAGGACCUCAACCUAUAUACCAGUUUUUAAAUUGUGUUGAUAGGCCAAAUAAAACCAGAGUUAUGAUAAAUUAUGUCCGCGAUACUUUUUUUCUGCUUAUUUUGAUCACGUUCGGCGCUCGAUCGCGCUGUAUGAGACAGGAAAACAUAGCAUGCACACAUUAGCGACAGGUCUUACAGGCGGAAAAGGCUUGCCAAAAGAAAAAAAAACACACCACAACAUCUCUCCUAUUGGUGGAAAACUUCACCACAACAACCAAUCCAAAAUUAUAUGGUGACUGAUUGACAUGGGGCGGGCGCUUACGUUCUUCCUGCAACAUGAGAAGGGAGGGAGGGACUCUCAGCAGGGAUGCAGUCUGGGACACGUAGUUGCAAACCUAGCGACUUUGUUGUUAGAUUCAAUUACUUUUCAGACCCCCUAACGACUUUUUUUUUGAAAGAAAGGGACUUUUAUCGACUUCUUCUGGAGUUUAGAGACUCUGACAUGAAGCAGGCUUUCCUUACUGAGGAGUUAGCAACGCUGCUAAGGGUGCAGAGCCACACAUGCGCUCCGAGCUCUGCAUGGGAGACUGAAGCUGACAGAGCUGCAGCAGUUAGCAGGUUUUACCCUCAGAGACCACCAGGGGUUCAUGUUGAGGCAUUUUCAGUUUUUGUUUUUUUUGCCAUAGACUGUCAGCACAAUCUGCAGUUACACUAACAAAAAUGCUGCAAAAAACAAAGAAUUAUGGAAAAAUUACACAUGGACUGACAUAGAGGAGGAUCUACACAAGUUUUUUACAUCAUGUUUUAGAUCAUGCAUCAUUUACAUCAUGUUUUUUUGUAGUGGCAUAAAUAAAAAGUGACAUUUGUGAGACUAUACAGUGUUUUGUAAAUAAUUUUACAAAGAACGCCUGGGCCGUUGCCUGCAUUUUGAUGUAAAUAGAGGUAAAUUACUAUGUUCUUUGUUAAAAAUUUGCAUAUGUUUUGAAGUUUACAAUUUUUAUUUGAAGUUUAAGUUUUAAAAACAGUUCAUCACACAUAUUUGUGGUUUAAUUUCACAUUAAUUUCCAUAUUGUAUAAAUGACUGGAAAAAACUUGAGCCCCUGCCCCUGUAUAAUCAUGUGCACGUCCCUGUUCUAGCUCCAAGGUGAAUCUUCACUGCUCAUGUUCUCCUCAGAAAUAGUCACCUCACUCCCCUCAGGUUACUGUACACAUGCACCAACUAUCUGCUUCAGGUUUGGAUGGAGCUUCCUGGUUGUCUUUUGGAGAAAUUAACAGUCAAGUUGUGUUUGAAAUCUAAUUUUUUUCAGGGGCAAAAGGAAGCCUCUGCAUUCUUGUCAAAUAUGUAAACAGCAUGUUUUUGCAGGUGCUAAAAAACAGACUCUGAGUGUGUGUGUGUGUGUGUGUGUGUGUGUGUGUGUGUGUGUGUGUGUGUGUGUAUGUGUGUGUAUCCUGCAGUACUCUGUACUCCUGCAGUGGCCAAAAAGACUUUUAAGAAUGUGGAUUUUUGGGUCAUCUUUGGCGCCCCCUAGAACUGCAGUACUCUGUACUCCUGCAGUGGCCAAAAUGACUUUUAAGAAUGUGGAUUUUUGGGUCAUCUUUGGCGCCCCCUAGAACGUAAACCGUGGGGUGCAGCGUCAUGAUUUUUACAACUUUGAAUGGGCAUGGGGUGUAGAUUGCCCUGAGCAAAUUUGGUAUCGGUGGGACGAAAGUCUUAGGAGGAGAUAGCCACAUUCCAAUGUGUGCGAAUCGGCAAAAAAUGCGAAAUAGCCCUUUAACCGUACAUUAUACAGAUACGCGCUUUUUGACUUUUUCGUAGAUCUAAUUGAGAUACACAUGAUUGUCAAUUUUUGUGUCAAUAUGACAAAGCGUUCAGGCGUGACACUCAACAAUGUGUAUUUUCAUGUAAGGGGACAAGAAAAAAAGGACUUUUUUCUCCUGCCAUGGGGGGGCGCUCUUUUGGGGAGUAAAAAUUCCUUCACAAAUGUGUUGAUGGCUGGACAUUGCAUCAUCCUAGAAAACUUGGAGGGCAGUGAGGACAAAAAUAAAAAGUUAUAAGACUUUUAAGAAUGUGGAUUUUGGGUUAUCUUUGGCGCCCCCUAGAACGUAAACCGUGGGGUGCAGCGUCAUGAUUUGUACAACUUUUAAUGGCCAUGGGGGGUAGAUUGGCCUGCGCAAAUGUGGUGCCGGUCGAACGAAAGCCUUCGGAGGAGUUAGCGAAAUUCCAAUGUGUGCAGAUCUGCAAAAAAUGCAAAAUAACCCAUUAACCGUACAUUUGACAGAUACGCCCGCACUGACUUUUUUGUAGAUCUUAUUGAGAUACAUGUGUGUGUCAAUUUUUGUGUCAAUAUGACAAAGCGUACAGCCGUCAUGUGAAUUUUCACCUUAGGGGGCGCUAUGGAGCCAUUUUGCAUUUUAUUGUUUGGGCGACUUCAGAAUAUCGAAUUUUUUACCAGGCCCGGUCGUCCUGCCAAAUUUCCUGAGUUUUCGCCAGUGGGAAGUGGGCCAUUUUCCAGUUUAAAGCGGAGGAAAAAUAAUAACGAAAGAAGGAAACAUGCAGGAACAAGAGGGCUCUCGCAGCUGCUUAGCAGCUACGCUCGGGCCCUAACUAGGACCCCGUUGGGGCACUGGCGGGCCCGAGCUGUGUCGCGUCCCACCCCCCAACGCGCUGCCUCCCCAUCCCAUUUGUUUCCUCUGGCCAUCGCCCUCUCUGGUAACGCCCAUCACUGCAAAGACCCUUUUCCUUCAUCAGCGUUUGCUGUUCUUCCUGCCAGUGCGUGUUGCUUUCACUUACACUUGCCACAGCCAGCCUCGUGAGUGCCUAGCCUAUUGGAUAUCACUGUCACCUACACAGGACAGUCAUUACCUUUCUAUUAAUACUUUGUUUUUUAAUUUCACAUUAAUUUCCAUAUUGUAUAAACAACUGGAAAAAACUUGAGCCCCUGCCCCUGUAUAAUCAUGUGCACGUCUCUGUUCUAGCUCUAAGGUGAAUCUUCACUGCUCAUGUUCUCCUCAGAAGCAGUCACCUCACUCCCCUCAGGUUACUGUACACAUACACCAACUGCCUGCUUCAGGUUUGGAUGGAGCUUCAUGGUUGUCUUUUGGAGAAAUGAGCAGUCAAGUUGUGUUUGAAAUUUGAUUUUUUUCAGGGGCAAAAGGAGCCUCUGCAUUCUUGUCAAAUAUGUAAAUAGCAUGUUUUUGCAGGUGCUAAAAACCAGACUCUGAGUGUG